This 253-nucleotide ribosomal RNA is filed under the name uncultured bacterium. Its description in RNAcentral is "partial 16S ribosomal RNA". It matches the Rfam family "Bacterial small subunit ribosomal RNA", at positions 524 to 776 of the family's 1533-position model. The record is from RNAcentral.
UACGUAGGGUGCGAGCGUUAAUCGGAAUUACUGGGCGUAAAGCGUGCGCAGGCGGUAAUGUAAGACAGAUGUGAAAUCCCCGGGCUCAACCUGGGAACUGCAUUUGUGACUGCAUCGCUGGAGUGCGGCAGAGGGGGAUGGAAUUCCGCGUGUAGCAGUGAAAUGCGUGGAUAUGCGGAGGAACACCGAUGGCGAAGGCAAUCCCCUGGGCCUGCACUGACGCUCAUGCACGAAAGCGUGGGGAGCAAACAGG